AUGUCUAGAUCAAAAUAUUACCUCUCGAGCCUGUGUGCGUGUGGCUUGGUUGCUGGGACACCUGCCAGCCAGGAAUUGGGGAUGCCUGGAAUCAUGUGCUCAGCAGGUGUAAACUGCGUGCAGGCAGAGUUCACCUUCUGUCCUCAGCCCCAGAGGCAGUUCCUCUUCAUUAGUGAGGGAAGAAGAUUAUCGUUGCAACCUGACUGCAUGCCAAAGUUAUGUAUCAUAAGAAGAAAAUCUGUUCAUACAUUCACAAAUAUGUUUUCUCCUGAUCUGUCUAUAGGAAAAUGUCUUCGUGAGGGGAGAGAGAGAGGCAGUGAUCGCAGAGAAGUUGAAAGGAAGCGACAGGCAGAAGCUGGACCUUUGCUGAGAUUUCUUCAAGCAGGAUGCAUGCAAUACAGAGAUGAAUGCAACUCCAGUGUAAUUGUGAGUGGUGCACAGCCAUGCUGGCAUCAUGUGGCAAGAGCACGUAUGGCCAUAUUUAACAGGGAAGAGGGAAUGAACAAUGUCCACCUACCACACUCCAGAUGCUCUUGA
RNAcentral lists this long non-coding RNA (537 nucleotides) under Phasianus colchicus (ring-necked pheasant). RNAcentral's name for it is "lncRNA (ENSPCLG00000006266.1)". The record is from RNAcentral. Lineage: Eukaryota; Metazoa; Chordata; Aves; Galliformes; Phasianidae.